AAAACAAGCAGAGGGGGCUUAGUGGUGGGGUGACUGCGUACCUUUUGUAUAAUGGGUCAGCGACUUAUAUUCUGUAGCAAGGUUAACCGAAUAGGGGAGCCGGAGGGAAACCGAGUCUUAAUUGGGCGUUAAGUUGCAGGGUAUAGACCCGAAACCCGGUGAUCUAGCCAUGGGCAGGUUGAAGGUUGGGUAACACUAACUGGAGGACCGAACCGACUAAUGUUGAAAAAUUAGCGGAUGACCUGUGGCUGGGGGUGAAAGGCCAAUCAAACCGGGAGAUAGCUGGUUCUCCCCGAAAGCUAUUUAGGUAGCGCCUCGUGAAUUCAUCUCCGGGGGUAGAGCACUGUUUCGGCUAGGGGGCCAUCCCGGCUUACCAACCCGAUGCAAACUGCGAAUACCGGAGAAUGUUAUCACGGGAGACACACGGCGGGUGCUAACGUCCGUCGUGAAGAGGGAAACAACCCAGACCGCCAGCUAAGGUCCCAAAGUCAUGGUUAAGUGGGAAACGAUGUGGGAAGGCCCAGACAGCCAGGAUGUUGGCUUAGAAGCAGCCAUCAUUUAAAGAAAGCGUAAUAGCUCACUGGUCGAGUCGGCCUGCGCGGAAGAUGUAACGGGGCUAAACCAU
Molecule: ribosomal RNA, 625 nt
Filed under: Salmonella enterica subsp. enterica
Lineage: Bacteria; Pseudomonadati; Pseudomonadota; Gammaproteobacteria; Enterobacterales; Enterobacteriaceae
Description: partial 23S ribosomal RNA
Rfam family: Bacterial large subunit ribosomal RNA
Source: RNAcentral